RNAcentral lists this ribosomal RNA (253 nucleotides) under uncultured bacterium. RNAcentral's name for it is "partial 16S ribosomal RNA". It matches the Rfam family "Bacterial small subunit ribosomal RNA", at positions 524 to 776 of the family's 1533-position model. The record is from RNAcentral.
UACGGGGGGGGCAAGCGUUGUUCGGAAUUACUGGGCGUAAAGGGUUCGUAGGUGGCCAACUAAGUCAGACGUGAAAUCCCUCAGCUUAACUGGGGAACUGCGUCUGAGACUGGAUGGCUUGAGUGCAGGAGAGGAACGCGGAAUUCCAGGUGUAGCGGUGAAAUGCGUAGAUAUCAAGCAGAACACCUGCGGCGAAGGCGGCCUUCUGGACGAUGACUGACGCUGAGACGCGAAAGCGUGGGGAGCAAACAGG